UACGUAGGCGGCUCGUUAAGUUGGAUGUGAAAUCCCACGGCUCAACCGUGGAACUGCGUCCAAAACUGGCGGGCUUGAGAACGGUAGGGGACAGUGGAACUCCAGGUGGAGCGGUGAAAUGCGUAGAGAUCUGGAGGAACACCGGUGGCGAAAGCGACUGUCUGGGCCGUUUCUGACGCUGAGGUACGAAAGCCAGGGUAGCGAACG
This 207-nucleotide ribosomal RNA is filed under the name uncultured bacterium. Its description in RNAcentral is "partial 16S ribosomal RNA". It matches the Rfam family "Bacterial small subunit ribosomal RNA", at positions 568 to 774 of the family's 1533-position model. The record is from RNAcentral.